RNAcentral lists this ribosomal RNA (1343 nucleotides) under uncultured bacterium. RNAcentral describes it as "16S ribosomal RNA". It matches the Rfam family "Bacterial small subunit ribosomal RNA", at positions 28 to 1378 of the family's 1533-position model. The record is from RNAcentral.
GACGAACGCUUUCGGCGUGCUUAACACAUGCAAGUCGAACGGAAAGGCCCUGCUUUUGUGGGGUGCUCGAGUGGCGAACGGGUGAGUAACACGUGAGUAACCUGCCCUUGACUUUGGGAUAACUUCAGGAAACUGGGGCUAAUACCGGAUAGGAGCUCCUGCUGCAUGGUGGGGGUUGGAAAGUUUCGGCGGUUGGGGAUGGACUCGCGGCUUAUCAGCUUGUUGGUGGGGUAGUGGCUUACCAAGGCUUUGACGGGUAGCCGGCCUGAGAGGGUGACCGGCCACAUUGGGACUGAGAUACGGCCCAGACUCCUACGGGAGGCAGCAGUGGGGAAUAUUGCACAAUGGGCGGAAGCCUGAUGCAGCAACGCCGCGUGCGGGAUGACGGCCUUCGGGUUGUAAACCGCUUUCGCCUGUGACGAAGCGUGAGUGACGGUAAUGGGUAAAGAAGCACCGGCUAACUACGUGCCAGCAGCCGCGGUGAUACGUAGGGUGCGAGCGUUGUCCGGAUUUAUUGGGCGUAAAGGGCUCGUAGGUGGUUGAUCGCGUCGGAAGUGUAAUCUUGGGGCUUAACCCUGAGCGUGCUUUCGAUACGGGUUGACUUGAGGAAGGUAGGGGAGAAUGGAAUUCCUGGUGGAGCGGUGGAAUGCGCAGAUAUCAGGAGGAACACCAGUGGCGAAGGCGGGUCUCUGGGCCUUUCCUGACGCUGAGGAGCGAAAGCGUGGGGAGCGAACAGGCUUAGAUACCCUGGUAGUCCACGCUGUAAACGGUGGGUACUAGGUGUGGGGUCCAUUCCACGGGUUCCGUGCCGUAGCUAACGCUUUAAGUACCCCGCCUGGGGAGUACGGCCGCAAGGCUAAAACUCAAAGGAAUUGACGGGGCCCCGCACAAGCGGCGGAGCAUGCGGAUUAAUUCGAUGCAACGCGUAGAACCUUACCUGGGUUUGACAUGGAUCGGGAGUGCUCAGAGAUGGGUGUGCCUCUUUUGGGGUCGGUUCACAGGUGGUGCAUGCCUGUCGUCAGCUCGUGUCGUGAGAUGUUGGGUUAAGUCCCGCAACGAGCGCAACCCUUGUUCACUGUUGCCAGCACGUUAUGGUGGGGACUCAGUGGAGACCGCCGGGGUCAACUCGGAGGAAGGUGGGGAUGACGUCAAGUCAUCAUGCCCCUUAUGUCCAGGGCUUCACGCAUGCUACAAUGGCUGGUACAGAGAGUGGCGAGCCUGUGAGGGUGAGCGAAUAUCGGAAAGCCGGUCUCAGUUCGGAUUGGGGUCUGCAACUCGACCUCAUGAAGUCGGAGUCGCUAGUAAUCGCAGAUCAGCAACGCUGCGGUGAAUACGUUCCCGGG